GACGAACGCUGGCGGCGUGCCUAAUACAUGCAAGUCGAGCGGAACUGGGGGAGCUUGCUCCUUCCAGUUUAGCGGCGGACGGGUGAGUAACACGUGGGCAACCUGCCCUGCCGAUCGGGAUAACUCCGGGAAACCGGUGCUAAUACCGAAUAGUUUGGCGCCUCCCCUGAGGCGCUACGGAAAGACGGUUUCGGCUGUCACUGCAGGAUAGGCCCGCGGCGCAUUAGCUAGUUGGUGGGGUAACGGCCCACCAAGGCGACGAUGCGUAGCCGACCUGAGAGGGUGACCGGCCACACUGGGACUGAGACACGGCCCAGACUCCUACGGGAGGCAGCAGUAGGGAAUCUUCCGCAAUGGACGCGAGUCUGACGGAGCAACGCCGCGUGAGUGACGAAGGUUUUCGGAUCGUAAAACUCUGUUGUGAGGGAAGAACACGUACCAACUAACUAUUGGUACCUUGACGGUACCUCACCAGAAAGCCACGGCUAACUACGUGCCAGCCGCCGCCGUAA
RNAcentral lists this ribosomal RNA (512 nucleotides) under uncultured bacterium. RNAcentral's name for it is "partial 16S ribosomal RNA". It matches the Rfam family "Bacterial small subunit ribosomal RNA", at positions 28 to 523 of the family's 1533-position model. The record is from RNAcentral.